UUCACUCUCCCACUCAUUCGUUUUUUAUUGUUAAAACGCUUUGCCUACACCAUUUUCGGUUUUAUCGGCUGAGCACAGAAGACCGUAGAAGACAAAGAAACAAUACAUGAUAUUUGGUCUCAACAUUCCCAUUCCGGGUAUAAUGAAGGUUUUGUGUUUUUUUCUUAGAUUCUGAUCUCAACAUUCCCAUUCCGGGUAUUAUCUUUUUUGACAAAAAUACCCCCAUUGUUUCCAACCCUAAUCGCCUAGAGGAAUAAGCACCCAUUCUUCUUCGGUUCUUCCCCUCCUCCUUCCAAUCAGUCAAUCCAAGAUACUCGUCGUCGUCGAACUGCCCUCCGACGAGACUCGCCCCUGUUCUAAUUCGGGAUUGAUCUAUUUCUUCACUGCUGACAUUAACGAGUUCUUCAAAUCAGUCAAUCCACGUUUUGCUCUUCAAACCAAGCUCUAUUUUACAAUUUAGAAAUCAGUACAGUAGAUGCUCAAACCAGAUUGGAUAAUCGGUCAGAUCUCGUUAGGAUUUUACAGCAGUUUGGAGUCCAUUCCUUUGGUCUACUUCUUGGUCUAAAGCCUUCAUGUCCAAAUGAAGAGGUUAGGAUGCUAAAGUUUAGGAACACCUUGUUAGGGGAGGAAGUGUGUGGUUUUGGCAAGAAAUGCAAUGUUAGUGUUGCCUUAGAGAUCAACAUUUGUCAUCCAUGAUUCCUUAAAUAUAUCAGGUUUUAGAAGAGGAUUAAAAAGUUAAGAGAGUGGCUUGAUAGGUUGGCAAAGGUAACAAGUUUCUAGCAUUUUCAUGCAUUUUCUGCAAGACUUGUAAUUUAUGCAUUUUUCUGAUUUUCUUGCAAUUUUCUGCAAUUUCCUGCAAUUUUUCUGUAAUUUCUAUAGUUUUCUGCAAAAAUAUUGUAGUUUCUACAUUUUCUUGCAAAGUAAAUGAUAUUUUCUAUAAUUUCUAUA
This is a long non-coding RNA of Nelumbo nucifera (sacred lotus), 948 nucleotides long. RefSeq lists it as uncharacterized. NCBI's taxonomy places the organism in Eukaryota, Viridiplantae, Streptophyta, Magnoliopsida, Proteales, Nelumbonaceae. The record is from RefSeq and is a predicted model, not a curated record.